AACUUUCAACAACGGAUCUCUUGGUUCUGGCAUCGAUGAAGAACGCAGCAAAAUGCGAUAAGUAAUGUGAAUUGCAGAAUUCAGUGAAUCAUCGAAUCUUUGAACGCACAUUGCGCCCGCCAGUAUUCUGGCGGGCAUGCCUGUUCGAGCGUC
Molecule: ribosomal RNA, 153 nt
Filed under: Fusarium sp. OTU930
Lineage: Eukaryota; Fungi; Ascomycota; Sordariomycetes; Hypocreales; Nectriaceae
Also listed under: 1 other name
Description: 5.8S ribosomal RNA
Rfam family: 5.8S ribosomal RNA
About the family: 5.8S ribosomal RNA (5.8S rRNA) is a component of the large subunit of the eukaryotic ribosome.
Source: RNAcentral